AAGUUCUGAACCUUUAGAAUGCUUUGUACCUGGUGCCUGAUUCACAAGCCAUCUCCUCUCCCUUUAUUUAUUUAUUUUUUUUCAAUCUCUCCUUUUGGGCUGUUCAGGUUAAUACAAAAUUAGAGGUUCAUGGUGGGAUUCUGACUACAUCGACCUUAUGAUACCAUUUUCUUUUUUGCAAAAUCCAAGUUCUUGUGUGGUCCUUUACACGAAGGACUUUUUUAGGUGUUUCUCUUUAAAUUUGUCUCAGAGCCUUCCUCUCCACACAAUGCUUUUUGGGGCUGUACUGGUGUAUUGGCCGAAUACAUGUUAAUGUCAUACUUUUUUAACAUGUAAAUCUAUCUAGUCAAUGUUCAUUUUCUGACAGAUCAGCCUACAACCUCAAUUCCGUGUGUAUUUUAGAAUAGCGAAUUCUAAAUGACUGCAGAAUCUAUUAAUUCUAUUCUAUUCGUGCAGGUCUGGAAGGGCCAAGGNNNN
RNAcentral lists this long non-coding RNA (477 nucleotides) under Vigna radiata. RNAcentral describes it as "long non-coding RNA (VRAD_LNC007675)". Lineage: Eukaryota; Viridiplantae; Streptophyta; Magnoliopsida; Fabales; Fabaceae. The record is from RNAcentral.